GGGCUUGACAUCCCACGAACCUGCCCGAAAAGGUGGGGUGCCCGCAAGGGAGCGUGGAGACAGGUGGUGCAUGGCUGUCGUCAGCUCGUGUCGUGGGAUGUUGGGUUAAGUCCCGCAACGAGCGCAACCCUCACCCCUAGUUGCCACCGGGUUAAGCCGAGCACUCAAGGGGAACUGCCAGCGUCAAGCUGGAGGAAGGCGGGGAUGACGUCAAGUCAUCAUUCCCCUUACGCCCUGGGCUACACACGUGCUACAAUGGCCAGUACAAAGGGACGCGAGACUGCGAAGUGGAGCUAAUCCCAAAAUGCUGGUCUAAGUUCAGAUUGCAGUCUGCAACUCGACUGCAUGAAGGAGGAAUCGCUAGUAAUCGCGCAUCAGCCCGGCGCGGUGAAUACACUCCCGGGCCUUGUACACACCGCCCGUCACACCACGAAAGCUGUCUGUACUCGAAGUCGCUGAG
RNAcentral lists this ribosomal RNA (460 nucleotides) under uncultured Methylomirabilota bacterium. RNAcentral describes it as "bacterial SSU rRNA". It matches the Rfam family "Bacterial small subunit ribosomal RNA", at positions 977 to 1434 of the family's 1533-position model. The record is from RNAcentral. Lineage: Bacteria; Methylomirabilota (SeqCode).